This 641-nucleotide ribosomal RNA is filed under the name uncultured bacterium. RNAcentral describes it as "bacterial SSU rRNA". The stretch from base 1 to 540 matches the Rfam family "Bacterial small subunit ribosomal RNA", at positions 338 to 873 of the family's 1533-position model. The record is from RNAcentral.
CCUACGGGAGGCAGCAGUAAGGAAUAUUGGGCAAUGGAGGCAACUCUGACCCAGCCAUGCCGCGUGCAGGAUGACUGCCCUAUGGGUUGUAAACUGCUUUUGUACCAGAGAAAACCCUUCUACGUGUAGAAGGCUGAUAGUAUGGUAAGAAUAAGGAUCGGCUAACUUCGUGCCAGCAGCCGCGGUAAUACGAAGGAUCCAAGCGUUAUCCGGAUUCAUUGGGUUUAAAGGGUGCGUAGGCGGUCAAAUAAGUCAGUGGUGAAAUCUCCGAGCUUAACUCGGAAAUUGCCAUUGAUACUGUUUGACUAGAGUUCAGAUGAUGUUGGCGGAAUGUGUCAUGUAGCGGUGAAAUGCUUAGAUAUGACACAGAACACCGAUUGCGAAGGCAGCUGACAAAACUGAUACUGACGCUGAUGCACGAAAGUGCGGGGAUCAAACAGGAUUAGAUACCCUGGUAGUCCGCACCGUAAACGAUNAUACUACGUAUGUUGUCGAUAUACAGUAAGACGUACCGAACGACGAAGACGUUAAGUAAGUACCGACCGUACGGGUAGGUACGGCCGGACCGACGGUACGUAAACGUUAAAGGUAAAGUUAGUACGGACGUUGAGAGAGCGACGGACGACGACGAGGGAGGUAGG